UCAGCUGCCUACAGUAUUGUUUUCUGUUAACGGUUACUGGGAAACCACACCUACUGGCAGAUGGCUCUUAUGUGAAUAAGCAGAGGGAGUAUCAGGACUUUUUUGCAUCUACAGCAGGAACUGAGGUGAACUACAAACCACAGUCACACGAACACAUUUUAGCUGACUGUUGGAGUCCACUCAUCUAACGCUUUGGACCGUAUGAGCCUGAAGACAAGCUCAGUGUCUGACUGAUGAGAUGCAGCUGGAAAGUUGUCCAACAGGAAAACGGUGUCUUCACUCACUCAUCCUUGUACAUUGAGGAUGAGUUCAUGGUUCCUGACAACAGCAAACAGACACCUGACACAGGAACAGGGAGAAGAUGAUGUGCAUCAUCCUGCUGCUCAUCAACCUGACCUCCUGUGUCUGUGGAACAUUUGUAGUCAAUGUGACACAGACCUCCUAUCAGGCAGAGGAGAACCACAACAUCACACUGGAGUGGAUGUUCACCACCAAACCUGGCAGCUCC
Epinephelus fuscoguttatus (brown-marbled grouper) is the source of this 508-nucleotide long non-coding RNA. RefSeq lists it as uncharacterized. Lineage: Eukaryota; Metazoa; Chordata; Actinopteri; Perciformes; Serranidae. The record is from RefSeq and is a predicted model, not a curated record. The transcript has 4 exons.